RNAcentral lists this ribosomal RNA (468 nucleotides) under uncultured bacterium. RNAcentral describes it as "partial 16S ribosomal RNA". It matches the Rfam family "Bacterial small subunit ribosomal RNA", at positions 28 to 507 of the family's 1533-position model. The record is from RNAcentral.
GACGAACGCUGGCGGCGUGCUUAACACAUGCAAGUCGAACGGAAAGGCGCUGCUUUUGUGGGGUGCUCGAGUGGCGAACGGGUGAGUAACACGUGAGUAACCUGCCCUUGACUUUGGGAUAACUUCAGGAAACUGGGGCGAAUACCGGAUAGGAGCUCCUGCUGCAUGGGGGGGGUUGGAAAGUUUCGGCGGUAGGGGAUGGACUCGCGGCUUAUCAGCUUGUUGGUGGGGUAGUGGCUUACCACGGCUUUGAAGGGUAGCCGGCCUGAGAGGGUGACCGGCCUCCUGGGUCCUGCGAGACGCCCCAGUAUCCUACGGGCCGCAGCAGUCGGGAACCUUGCGGAGCGGCCCGGCGUCUGUUGUGGCAGUCCCCCGAUCGGGAUGCCCUGUUUCUAGUUGUAAACCACUUUCUAAUUUACUGAAGCCUUCGUGACGGUACUUGGUCAGAAAGCCCCGGCUAACUACGUG